AUGGUGGCAUUGGUAAAUGACUCUAAUGCCCAAAGAAAAAUAUUACAAAUGCCGCUGUCUCAGCCACCAAUCGGGCGCCGCUCUCCAGCACCGGCGGUGGCUCCUCUCCGGCGCGGAGGGCACCUACAUUUGCAUGAUAAAUUGACCAGACAGGCGGCAGCCAAUGAAAUAUUCAAAUUAGGCCGGAGGGGAUGGGAUGGAGUCCCUGGGGCUCCCCAUUUGAGCCGUUGGCUGGAGCCGGCCUUACUACCUCUCCAUCAGCGCCCUCUAGAGGCGGGACAACGCGGGCGGCAGCUCUGGCCCAAGUUUUCAGGGACCACUUCUGGGGAGCAGCAGUAGUCACCAGAGACUAUAAAGUGGGGGACAGCCUUGCUGAGCAGCUCUGCAGGAUAGAAUGAAUAUGAGAAGCAGGUGAGUGAUGAGCCCAACCCAAACCACCACCACAUUUACUUCCAAGCCUGUCCGUAGUUUUUCUAAUUUAAUUUUUAUUUUAUUUUGUGAUUUUGCUGGGGAUUGAACUCGGGUCCUUGCUCUUGCAGGCAGGCAGCGGAACCACUGAGCCAAAUCCCUGGCCCUCUAAUUUAAUUUUAAAAUUCGCGUGGAGUAAAAUCCACUCUGAUUUGCGGCAGGUCCGCAGUCACACAUCUACCACCGCAGUCCAGAGUUGGGACGAUCCAUUACCCACUCCCCCACGCCCCUGCCGGUUCCUCUGCGCUGCCCUUUUGUAACCCAUCUCUCCACCACCUGCCCUAAACUCCCACCCUGCCCCGAGAGGAGCCAUUGUACCACUGACUCUUUUUUCCUAUAGUUUUGCCUUUCUAAGAAUGGAGCACACGUGGACUUUAUACCGAUGUGCAUCGGUUUGAAUCAGACUUCUAUCACAUGGUACAGAGCAUUGGGAUUUUACCAGCGUUUUUGGGGGUGUCGAUAAGUUUUGUCUCAUCCAUGCUGAAAAAUACUUCUUUGUCUGAAUGUACAGAAAUCUGUUGACCCAUUCCUCUCAACUGAAGGACAAUUGAAUUGUUCCUGGAGAAUAAAGCUGCUACCCAGUAGCUUUUAUGUGGAUAGCUUGUCUUUCGUCUGAGGUCUUAUUAUAUAGAAGUGUCUUUGCUAGGCCCUAUGGAGGAGGAAGUCUAAUGUUGUAAGAAAGAUUCCAACCAGUUAGGCUUUUUCUUAAAAAGAAACAAACAAACAAAAAAAACAAUAGAAAGGGCUGGUGAUACAGCUCAGUGCAAAGACCCUGGUUCAACCCCAAGUGCAAACAAAAACAGACAAACAAAAACUGCCAAAUGGUUCCCUAAAGGAAUUAUACCAUUGUGUAUCUACCCCUGAAAAGAACAGGAAGUUCUACUUUCUGCCAAGGAGGCUCUGAUGGACAUAAAGUUCUUUGCAAAGACUGAUAGAGCCUGGCCAGGGGCCUAGUGGGAGAAUUAGUUAAGUCUAAAACCUUAACCCCUGUGGUCUCCCAGCAGGUCCUUUGGAAUGGGGACAGAGUAUGUACCUCCAUUUCCAGAUCGCUUCCUUUCCGGCGGGGGGGGGCACAGGUAACCACGCCCCCACCCAUUUUAUGGAUGAGGCCACGGCCCUGCUGCUCUUGGUUAAACCAGCCUGACUUUCUACAGUACAAUCAAGAGCAAGAUUCCUGAGUUCACAAAGUGAAAUGAAGUGUGAUCAUUUGGAAUGUUUCUUACUCACACAACAAAAGCUAGGAAACUCAGCAGGUUCCCUUCCAAGGUGAUAACGGAUUACAUGGCCUUUGUCCCAGAAUUCCAGUGCCCAUCUCUGCCAGCCUUACCGGAUGGCCUUAGAUGGAACAGAAGAUCAGCUCAUUUCAUAUGUGACCUCUGGGAAUGUGGGGUAGCACCCUAGCUGUGGAUGGAACAGGCUUGUGAAUCUGCAGACAUGGAAAUGAGGCCCCACUGCCAGGGGCCCCAUGGCCAGAGGUCCUGCUUUCUGGCUCACAUCCCGUAAGUUGUUGCUUCCUUCAUUGUAGGCCCCAUUUCUAAGGCACCUUCACGUUUCAAACGUCUUGAGAAUAUGUUUAAUUAGAACUUGGCCACACAGCCUUUUAAAAUAAAACAGAAGGGACCGGCU
RNAcentral lists this long non-coding RNA (2094 nucleotides) under Fukomys damarensis (Damara mole-rat). Its description in RNAcentral is "lncRNA (ENSFDAG00000028528.1)". Lineage: Eukaryota; Metazoa; Chordata; Mammalia; Rodentia; Bathyergidae. The record is from RNAcentral.